AUUGAACGCUGGCGGCAUGCCUUACACAUGCAAGUCGAACGGCAGCACGGGAGCAAUCCUGGUGGCGAGUGGCGAACGGGUGAGUAAUAUAUCGGAACGUGCCCAGUCGUGGGGGAUAACGCAGCGAAAGCUGUGCUAAUACCGCAUACGAUCUACGGAUGAAAGCGGGGGACCGUAAGGCCUCGCGCGAUUGGAGCGGCCGAUGUCAGAUUAGGUAGUUGUAGGGGUAAAGGCUCACCAAGCCAACGAUCUGUAGCUGGUCUGAGAGGACGACCAGCCACACGGGGACUGAGACACGGCCCAGACUCCUACGGGAGGCAGCAGUGGGGAAUUUUGGACAAUGGGCGCAAGCCUGAUCCAGCAAUGCCGCGUGCAGGAAGAAGGCCUUCGGGUUGUAAACUGCUUUUGUACGGAACGAAACGGCGAGCUCUAAUACAGUUUGCUAAUGACGGUACCGUAAGAAUAAGCACCGGCUAACUACGUGCCAGCAGCCGCCGUAA
RNAcentral lists this ribosomal RNA (500 nucleotides) under uncultured bacterium. Its description in RNAcentral is "partial 16S ribosomal RNA". It matches the Rfam family "Bacterial small subunit ribosomal RNA", at positions 30 to 523 of the family's 1533-position model. The record is from RNAcentral.